GAUGAACGCCGGCGGUGUGCCUAAUACAUGCAAGUCGAGCGCACUGGCCCAACUGAUAUGACGUGCUUGCACUGAUUUGACGAUGGAUUACCAGUGAGCGGCGGACGGGUGAGUAACACGUGGGCAACCUGCCCUGGAGCGGGGGAUAACAUCUGGAAACAGGUGCUAAUACCGCAUGACUACUAAAACCACCUGGUUUUAGUAUAAAAGAAGGCUUCAGCUUUCACUCUAGGAUGGGCCCGCGGUGCAUUAGCUAGUUGGUAAGGUAACGGCUUACCAAGGCGAUGAUGCAUAGCCGAGUUGAGAGACUGAUCGGCCACAAUGGAACUGAGACACGGUCCAUACUCCUACGGGAGGCAGCAGUAGGGAAUCUUCCACAAUGGGCGCAAGCCUGAUGGAGCAACACCGCGUGAGUGAAGAAGGGUUUCGGCUCGUAAAGCUCUGUUGUUGAAGAAGAACGUGCGUGAGAGUAACUGUUCACGCAGUGACG
Molecule: ribosomal RNA, 490 nt
Filed under: Limosilactobacillus vaginalis
Lineage: Bacteria; Bacillati; Bacillota; Bacilli; Lactobacillales; Lactobacillaceae
Description: bacterial SSU rRNA
Rfam family: Bacterial small subunit ribosomal RNA
Source: RNAcentral